Molecule: transfer RNA, 74 nt
Filed under: Alopias superciliosus (bigeye thresher)
Lineage: Eukaryota; Metazoa; Chordata; Chondrichthyes; Lamniformes; Alopiidae
Description: tRNA-Thr
Rfam family: tRNA
About the family: Transfer RNA (tRNA) molecules are approximately 80 nucleotides in length. Their secondary structure includes four short double-helical elements and three loops (D, anti-codon, and T loops).
Source: RNAcentral
GUUUUGGUAGCUUAACUUAACAAAGCGUCGACCUUGUAAGUCGAAGACCGGAGGUUCAAACCCUCCCCAAAACA